Molecule: long non-coding RNA, 2030 nt
Organism: Austrofundulus limnaeus
Lineage: Eukaryota; Metazoa; Chordata; Actinopteri; Cyprinodontiformes; Rivulidae
Exons: 3
Source: RefSeq, a predicted model, not a curated record
GGUCUGUGCGAAAACGAAUGCCGAACAACCACGUGACCGCGCGUCAACCGGUCAGCGUCGGAGCAAGUAUGUUUCAGGCCUGCCUGAAAGGGAGGGGGGUAAAAAGUUCUGCUGGYGGGUGGUGCCAAAAGGGGCGGCCRAGCCGACACUGCAAACAYCGGUGACGUAAUUUUCGUCAUGAAACUGCAACAACCCGUGCCGACGUCGGCAGUUCGGAGGGAGUAUGAAGAAAGCUUUAGUCUAUAGCAGCAAAAACGAAGAAUAAUUCAGGAAACCUAAGUCUAAUUAUAUGAUUUAUCAAAAAGGAAAGUCUUCAGUCUAAUCUUAAAAGUAGACAGAGUGUCAGCCUCACAAACAAAAACUGGAAGUURGUUCCACAAGAGAUGAGAUUGAUAACUGAAAUGAACAGCUAUGGUUUUAUGCAUUUGUAAAUUCACUUAAAACUUGAGAGUUAGUUAUAAAACAAAUGUUUUUAUGCUUAUCUUAGUGGGUUGCUGCUGGAGAAACGGGUGGAUCCAUUGUCCGUCGUCCCCGCGUGCCCCCUCCUCUUGUCAACACAGGGUCCACGGCAGGUGGGGCKGAGGACCGGGCCCRGACAUCCGCCCCAAAACAGGCCGUACCCAAAGGAGGUGACACUGCAGGGCCGAAAGAGGAAGACGCCAAUCCGCGCCAUUUAAUAGCCCCGGAWAAACAGAGAGACUAAAACAUGUUAUUUAAAAAURUUUCAAAACAACCUUUUAUGAUUUUUCUUGAUUUAAGCUAUGAUUCAUGUUCCAGUAAGCGAUCACGGAGGURGCUGAGCUGUCUAAGACUGAAACUGCCACUGUCCAGGAAAGCAAAUUUAUCACACCAUACCCGCAGACACUACACGGCUUCAUCAUCAUAUUUAUUUACCAUCGCCUGGACGCAAGGCCCGUCGGUCGCAUUCAUUAGCUGAACAACAGAAUCGCCCUAGACCCAUUGUUACAUCAACUCAUGCUCAGUGMACUACCGUAUGCAAUUUUCUUACAAUGAAAAUUGGGUGGCCACCUUUUAAACUGACUUUUAGCCUACUUUGUUUCCCUCAACAGAAACAGAAACGGAAAAUUAUAUCUUCCCUCAGCAGUUUAUUCCUGUCUAAACUGCCUACACUCACCAAGAUAAACAAUGUCCUCUUGGCUACCUCAAAACAGAAAGCUAAACUCCCYGUUUUUAACUCGAUUAGGAAUAAAAACGCUCCCUAACCUACCUCAGCUAAAGUCACCACCAACCGCAGAAGCGACCAGACGGGCGUCUAACAAUUAGAUUUUUACUGUGGUGGGCUGAAAUAGCCGUAGCUUUUUUUUUUCACAAAGGUGCUAAUGAAAAUAUUAUCUCACCAUGUUUCUGUCAAAAGACAGGUUCUUUCAGCUCCAGUCCCAAAGGUCACCCACAGCGGCCGAAGCGAGGACAAAUCGAUCAGCGGAGGAAAACCUUCCUUAAAAACGGGUCAGCUUCUCAGAAACUGAAAAAAACCAGGAAGCUUCUUCCUCCUUGUCCAAACGUCGGCCCCAGCGGGCAAACUCCGGUCCUUGGAGCUCCGAUAACGACAACGCCAAUUUGUGGUGGCAGGAUUUACCAAGAGAUACAGAACAGGACAUGUCAAGCCCUUCACGGAUACCUCCACUCAUCUGCUCUCAUGACAACGACCCUGGUUCUKUUUAUUGGAUUACUGCCUCUCGUCUYAACCUUGUUCGGCAACACGACUCAUCUGACUUCCUGGUUCUCGACCCUCGCCCGCGCACUGGAUUCCCGAAGAACGCCAAACCCCUUCAACCUGGUAAAAUCUUUGUUUAGUCUGUGCAUGGCCCUCACCUGUUUGACAAAUCCAUAUCUGACAAACAGACCAUCAAAACCUAUCGAGUCUAUCGGAGAUGUCAUGGCCUCCCGGACCCAAACGCUCUGACGGUGUUUCUUCAUGGAGGUUUCCUGUGAACACUAGAUUGCCUGACUCGAGAUUCGAUUUGGUCCCARCUCCACACCAGCAAUUUAAAUAAACAUUGUAAACCUUU